RNAcentral lists this unclassified non-coding RNA (378 nucleotides) under plant metagenome. RNAcentral describes it as "partial contains 5.8S ribosomal RNA, internal transcribed spacer 2, and large subunit ribosomal RNA". The stretch from base 1 to 105 matches the Rfam family "5.8S ribosomal RNA", at positions 50 to 154 of the family's 154-position model. The record is from RNAcentral.
GAAAUGCGAUAAGUAAUGUGAAUUGCAGAAUUCAGUGAAUCAUCGAAUCUUUGAACGCAGCUUGCGCUCCUUGGUAUUCCUUGGAGCAUGCCUGUUUGAGUAUCAUGAAAUCUUCAACGUAAAUCUUUUGUUAAUUCAAUUGGUUUCUACUUUGGUAUUGGAGGUCUUUGCAGCUUCACACCUGCUCCUCUUUGUUCAUUAGCUGGAUCUCAGUGUUAUGCUUGGUUCCACUCGGCGUGAUAAGUUAUCUAUCGCUGAGGACACUGUAAAAGGUGGCCAAGGUAAAUGCAGAUGAACCGCUUCUAAUAGUCCAUUGACUUGGACAAUACUUUUAUGAUCUGAUCUCAAAUCAGGUAGGACUACCCGCUGAACUUAAGC